AAGAGAGCAAAUGUUUUGGGUUCAAAUCAACCCACACCGGCAACCUGCCUGAUCGCUUAGCGGUUGUUGGCCUAAGUUGACCGGCUAUUUAGGCGUCUAGGGGCUAGGCCAGGUGCCUAGUUGCCGACUAGACCAACUUUUAGAACACUGUAGAUUGGUACUGAUUGGGUAUCUGAAUGGAAUGCGUGGGACAUGAUUUACAUCAUGCGGAGGAUUAAACAAA
RNAcentral lists this unclassified non-coding RNA (223 nucleotides) under Hevea brasiliensis (rubber tree). Lineage: Eukaryota; Viridiplantae; Streptophyta; Magnoliopsida; Malpighiales; Euphorbiaceae. The record is from RNAcentral.